RNAcentral lists this ribosomal RNA (1298 nucleotides) under metagenome. RNAcentral describes it as "bacterial LSU rRNA". It matches the Rfam family "Bacterial large subunit ribosomal RNA", at positions 1634 to 2925 of the family's 2925-position model. The record is from RNAcentral.
AUAUACGACCGUACCGCAAACCGACACUGGUGCGCGAGAUGAGUAUUCUAAGGCGCUUGAGAGAACUCAGGAGAAGGAACUCGGCAAAUUGACACCGUAACUUCGGAAGAAGGUGUGCCCUAUUAGUGUGUAGUGAACAACGAAGCAUGAAUGGGUUGCAAAAAAUCGGUGGCUGCGACUGUUUAUUAAAAACACAGCACUCUGCAAACACGAAAGUGGACGUAUAGGGUGUGACGCCUGCCCGGUGCUGGAAGAUUAAAUGAUGGGGUGCAAGCUCUUGAUUGAAGUCCCAGUAAACGGCGGCCGUAACGAUAACGGUCCUAAGGUAGCGAAAUUCCUUGUCGGGUAAGUUCCGACCUGCACGAAUGGCGUAACGAUGGCCACACUGUCUCCUCCUGAGACUCAGCGAAGUUGAAAUGUUUGUGAUGAUGCAAUCUCCCCGCGGAAAGACGGAAAGACCCCAUGAACCUUUACUGUAGCUUUGUAUUGGACUUUGAACAGAUCUGUGUAGGAUAGGUGGGAGGCUUUGAAGCAGGGUCGCUAGAUCUUGUGGAGCCAACGUUGAAAUACCACCCUGGUGUGUUUGAGGUUCUAACCUAGGUCCAUUAUCUGGAUCGGGGACAGUGCAUGGUAGGCAGUUUGACUGGGGCGGUCUCCUCCCAAAGCGUAACGGAGGAGUUCGAAGGUACGCUAGUUACGGUCGGACAUCGUGACGAUAGUGCAAUGGCAUAAGCGUGCUUAACUGCGAGACUGACAAGUCGAGCAGAUGCGAAAGCAGGACAUAGUGAUCCGGUGGUUCUGUAUGGAAGGGCCAUCGCUCAACGGAUAAAAGGUACUCUGGGGAUAACAGGCUGAUACCGCCCAAGAGUUCAUAUCGACGGCGGUGUUUGGCACCUCGAUGUCGGCUCAUCUCAUCCUGGGGCUGUAGCCGGUCCCAAGGGUAUGGCUGUUCGCCAUUUAAAGAGGUACGUGAGCUGGGUUUAAAACGUCGUGAGACAGUUUGGUCCCUAUCUUCCGUGGGCGCUGCAGAUUUGAGGAAGCCUGCUCCUAGUACGAGAGGACCGGAGUGGACACACCUCUGGUGUAUCGGUUGUCACGCCAGUGGCAUUGCCGAGUAGCUAAGUGUGGAAGAGAUAACCGCUGAAAGCAUCUAAGCGGGAAACUCGUUUCAAGAUGAGAUCUGCCGGGGCCUUGAGCCCCCUAAAGAGUCGUUCAAGACCAGGACGUUGAUAGGUCAGGUGUGGAAGCGCAGUAAUGCGUUAAGCUAACUGAUACUAAUUGCUCGUGCGGCUUGACCU